This 148-nucleotide small nuclear RNA is filed under the name Vicugna pacos (alpaca). Its description in RNAcentral is "U2 spliceosomal RNA (ENSVPAG00000018007.1)". It matches the Rfam family "U2 spliceosomal RNA". Rfam says of the family: U2 is a small nuclear RNA (snRNA) component of the spliceosome (involved in pre-mRNA splicing). Complementary binding between U2 snRNA (in an area lying towards the 5' end but 3' to hairpin I) and the branchpoint sequence (BPS) of the intron results the bulging out of an unpaired adenosine, on the BPS, which initiates a nucleophilic attack at the intronic 5' splice site, thus starting the first of two transesterification reactions that mediate splicing. The record is from Rfam by way of RNAcentral. Lineage: Eukaryota; Metazoa; Chordata; Mammalia; Artiodactyla; Camelidae.
AUCGCUUCUCAGCCUUUUGGCUAAGAUCAAGUGUAGAAUAUACUCUUAAUAUUUGAAAAUGAUCAAAUGAAACAUAACUGUGGUUCCACCAAAGCAUCCAUGGGUCCAGUGUCAGAAUCAGGAUAUUGAGUCAAAUGGACCAGUGAUC